ACAACAGAUAGUCUAUUCAACCCAGAGCCCAAAUCAUCAGCAACCAAAACGCUGGUUCCUCUUUCCUCCUAGGUCCUCAAACAUUUCCAAGGGAGGAGGCAGAAUUACAUUCUGCAGAAUUCACUUGCUGUUUGCUUGACUGUUUUCUCCUACUGAGUAGAAGCUUCUUGAAGGCCUGGACUGGGUCUUUUUGCCAUUGACUAUGGAGGGGAUUUUCAGGGAUGUUGAUUACCAACGAACGUUCUGGAAGGCCUGUGGCAUGCACACGUCCUCCCUCAGGAGACCACGAGGGAAUAGGAGAAAACAGACGUCCCGGAAAAGAAUUCUCAAAUGGGAACUCUGGCUUCCAAGUCUGGUUCAGCCACACCACAGCUGUGGCCUUGGAAGUUUGCUUUAACAUCUCAGCAUGUGAGUGUCCUCCUAUGUGAAAUGACGACCAGAAGCCGACAUCCACCUGGCACUCGGGAGCCUGCACAAGUAUGUUCAUUGGAGCGGGUCCAUGAAAGUGGAAAACUGGAAACAUCCCACAGUGCAACAAUUCGUUUAAACAAAUGAAGACACACGCACACCAUGGAACGGUAUCAUCCGUGGGUGAUGACGUGGAUGUUCAUACACAGGAAGGAUAUUUGUGGCCCAUUACCAAGUAGAGAAGUUGUUGUAGUUCAGUAGGCAUAGCGCUAUGUCAUUUUUGUUAAUUUUGUAAAAAUAAAAUAUUUACACGUAUCAUCAUUCAUCUGUUUAACAAGAUUUACUCUGCACAGUUUCACUGGGAUGUGCAUUUACAUGCGGGUAUAUGGGUAUAAAUUGUCCAAGGAUCUCCACCAAGAUACAAUGUCUCUACAGGGGGUUCUUUUUCUGUUGGGCUUAGCUGGUUUUCAAAUUCUUUCACAAUGAACUUGUGUCAUAAAGAAAUAAUAGAGAUAUAAAAUGUUUACAAUGCAGAAGCUGGAACACCAGGGUCUGCCUCCAACCAGGGGCAUUUUGGUGGGGCCAAGUUCAUCUGCUGGUUGCUUGGGGAAUGAGGAACCCAAGCAAAGGCCUGAGAGGUUUUAAGGGAAUUCAUUUGGGCUCUGGAGGAGUCAAUAAUCUCUUUUUCUCCCUCUCUCCCCCUUGUUGUGAAUGUCUGUGUCUACUUCUCUCCGCUGAGCAAACACACCCAGGUGUCUGCUCCUAGGGGCCUUCCUGGAUUUUAGGAUUCCUAUUUGUUCUUCGGGCAGGCCAUACAACUCCACUGAUCAGGCAAGGCCUCUGGAACUCCGGUCUCUACAUUCCAGUCAUGUUCAGGAGAUGAUACCCUGGGCAUCCCGAUCAGACAUUGGUGUUGCCCCAAUCCCAGUCACCCACCAGGACAGGGGCCAUCUUCGAAGGAAUGCUUCUCCCCCAGGGAGCAUAUCACAUUUCUGACACCAUGAGUCAUUCUGGUUUCAACCCAGAAUGUAAUGCCACUUCCAGGUUGUAUGGGCACCUCCCUGUCAGUCAUUCCCUGAUUUAUAAUAAUGAAUAAAAGUUACCAUAUAUCGGCAUUUCUGUCCCAGAUCCUGUGCUGGGCAUGGGCUCGGG
Molecule: long non-coding RNA, 1560 nt
Organism: Mustela erminea (ermine)
Lineage: Eukaryota; Metazoa; Chordata; Mammalia; Carnivora; Mustelidae
Exons: 3
Source: RefSeq, a predicted model, not a curated record